UCCGGUUUGGCACCGGCAGUCUUCCUAGAGUCCCCGCCAUUACGCGCUGGUAACUAACGACAGGGGUUGCGCUCGUUAGAGGACUUAACCCGACACUUCACAGCACGAGCUGACGACAGCCAUGCAGCACCUUACGAUCUGUGUAUUGCUACAAAACCAGCUUUCACUGGCGGUCAAACCGCAUUCUAGCCCAGGUAAGGUUCCUCGCGUAUCAUCGAAUUAAACCACAUGCUCCUCCGCUUGUGCGGGCCCCCGUCAAUUCCUUUGAGUUUCACCGUUGCCGGCGUACUCCCCAGGUGGAUUACUUAUCGCUUUCGCUAAGCCACUAAAAGUUGCCCUCUAGCAGCGAGUAAUCAUCGUUUACAGUGCGGACUAC
RNAcentral lists this unclassified non-coding RNA (376 nucleotides) under uncultured Bacteroidia bacterium. RNAcentral describes it as "contains 16S-23S intergenic spacer region". Lineage: Bacteria; Pseudomonadati; Bacteroidota; Bacteroidia. The record is from RNAcentral.